Transfer RNA from Toxocara canis (dog roundworm), 71 nucleotides. It matches the Rfam family "tRNA". Rfam says of the family: Transfer RNA (tRNA) molecules are approximately 80 nucleotides in length. Their secondary structure includes four short double-helical elements and three loops (D, anti-codon, and T loops). The record is from Rfam. NCBI's taxonomy places the organism in Eukaryota, Metazoa, Nematoda, Chromadorea, Rhabditida, Toxocaridae.
CGAGCAGUAGCUUAGUGGUAGAGUUCCCGCUUCAUAUGCAGGAAGACAUGGGUUCGAUUCCGGCUGCUUAC